GUACACACCGCCCGUCACACCACGAAAGCUGGUUGAACCAGAAGCCGGUGACCCGACCGCAAGGAGGGAGCCGUCCAAGGUUUGACCGGUGAUUGGGGUGAAGUCGUAACAAGGUAGCCGUAGGUGAACCUGCAGAAGGAUCA
RNAcentral lists this ribosomal RNA (143 nucleotides) under uncultured eukaryote. RNAcentral's name for it is "partial small subunit ribosomal RNA". It matches the Rfam family "Bacterial small subunit ribosomal RNA", at positions 1383 to 1525 of the family's 1533-position model. The record is from RNAcentral.